UGUUCCAUUUAAAAUAAGGCAGCUGAUGUAUACCUCCGGUAUAUCCGCAGAUAGAAUAUUUUUUAUUGGAAAAAUUUUCUUCCAUUUUCAGCGUUAAGACCGCUAGAGAGCAAGGCGCGCAUAAUGGACUACCCCGUAUAUGACAAGAAUUCUUUUACGUAUUUAUAUUUUGCUCAUCGAGUUCUUUUAUGAUAUUUUUAUUUUAUUUUUUUAGUUUUAUCUUGUGCACGACUACCUUCGCUUAGAAAACACUGUCUUAUAAUGCAUUAGUGUUUUUAUUCUACCUCCAGUGUCUACCUUAAAACAUUAAGUCUCCGUGACACGCGACUAAUUUUUUGGGGAUUGUAUAAAGUUCAUCAUUAAACAAAAAUUACCCAUGUUCUGUUUUAAUGUUACUAACAUUAUUUUAGAAUUUCAUUUCUUUUGAUUAUAACCGUUUUGGGUUUAAAAAUUUGUAUAUUCAUAAAAUUAUCGUUCAUGUGACUAACCGUUUCACCAUUUGAUCAAAACUAAAUAUCAGAUAUAGCGAAAUAUUUUGCGGUUAAUAAGUAGUCAUUUAAUUAAUCAAAUAAAAAUUAAGUACGCUUCGAAUUUUCAGUUCAUUGUGCAAUUAUCCAGUAAUUAACUACUCAAAAAUACAAUAACUCACCAAUCAGAAGCGAUCGAAGCCUGUCUUGAUGGAUUUAUUGUUUUAGUUUUGUUUCAACUGUUCAUUAUUCGUUAAAAUUGCAUGUAAGGGAAAAUCGGAUUGGGAGGCUUCUGUGCAAGAAUGCAUUCAACCAAAGAAAUAAAUAACGAAAGACAUAGUUCGUAAGACCGAAACGAACUUUUAUUCAGUUUCACAUUUCUUUUUAACGCAGUUUUUAUUUUUUCUUUAAUUAUUUAAAAUUGAAUCGUACGUUAUGCAGCACCUAAUGUUAGUUACGACAUACGUGCACCUUACUUGACUUAUAGGAGCGACUGCCAGAAGAAUUAGAUGUUUAUGCACUUUUGCGACCCUCUAAGUCUUUUUCGUUGAACUGCAGCCACGCAAGGAAGCCCUUCCCAUCCGUACAUUGUUUCGGAUUAAUUCAUUUAGUUCAAAUUCGGGUUUAAUUACACCGGGUGUCUGAAAAUAUUUCUGUAGCAGGUAAGCACUAACUAGAUAAAGAAUAAAUAUUCUAGUCAGAAAGCUCUCUGGUUUCCGGACACCCGGUAUAUAUUUACAAUGAUAUAAAAAAUUGAUAGAAUGUAAUAAUAAAAAGAAAAUGUCUUCUGUUUUUAAAUUUAUUAAAAGAGUGGCCCGACCGUGUUUAUCAAUUUAUUACUGUCACUGUCCGACAGUUAUUGAAGUUCUGAUACGUAGAGGUAAUUCUGAAUCUCACGGGCCAUUACCUUGGACUAUGUAUGGACAAAACAUCGUCCGUUUUCUACAUUUAUAUCUCUUAAAAACAUUGGCUGUGUAGAGUUUAUCUGGAGUUCAAUCUUAGGUUUUUUGCCGAAGCACAUGGUUAACUGUCGAUUCGAUGUUUUUGAAUUGUACAAUAUGAAUCUAUUAAAAAAAAAGGAUUUUUCACCGGUUGGGUCAAUCAAUCUGUCAGCAUUCUACUAUUGAACCAAUUACGUACAAGUUCAAUCAAUGAUGACAGUUGGAGCGUUCUUUUAAUAAAUUUGAAAACGCAGUCGGGCCAUAUAAGAAAUAUCUCUUAAUAAAAAGCGAUUUAUAUUGUUUUUAGCCCACGCUGGUUAACGAUCAGUUGGAUCAGUUGUAUGUGGAAAUGGAAUUACAAGGUCUUUCGUCUAGACUUACAUUAGAAGAGGGUAUCACUUCCAGUAGCAGCACCAGCAGCUGCGACGAAACUUCCGCCAAUCAGCAGAAGGUAAGACCAUCAAAAACACGAAAGACAAUGAAACAUCAACAACAUUGCGCAGCCUCAGCAACCAUUAAAUGGAUGCCAAUCCAUUGUUCUUUAAAGACAAUGGAAUAGAAAUGAAGAAGAAACGAAAGUCGUACAGUUCUUUGGUGAUGAUUUAUGAAGAGAACGCGCCAUUCCCAUCACCUGAUUCGUGCGGAGGUAACUGAGUGAUAAAUUAAAUACUCUGACGAUAACGUAACAGUGACGUUUUUGAUAUUUAUAAUAAUGCUGAAUGUUACGUAAUAUUUUACACUACGGACAUUUUGUACGUUUACUUAUUUAACAAAAAUUUUUUAAGAAUGUUGACUAAUAAUAGGCUAUUUUUAUAAAGAUGUUGUGAAAGUGCAUGUAAGGGUUUGCUAAAAUGUUUUAUUUCUGCUUUUAAUUAAAGGGAAAUUUUAAAUUUAAUAUUUUUGAUAAAGUCCGGCCUUAUUAAACUCAACUGAAACCAUUAUCUACAAUUUCCAAUAAAUUUUUGUUCAAACCUAAAGUGAAUUUGACUUUGUAGACAGCGAUUUGCAUGUAACAGACAGUUAUAUUAAUUAUUUUCAUUUUCGAUUAUUUCAAGUAAUUAGAAUACAGUAGCAAGCCCUAAGUGCUCCCAAAUUAAAUGUAUUUUUGAAAGAUACAGAUUUGUAUCGUAUAACUAACUGUAUGUAUAAGAUUUUGAUACACCGAAGUUUUGCUAUAAGUAUGCGGAAAACAUUUAAUUUUUAUUUAUUAUAGAAGCUUAACGUUGUUUUUUAUUGUCAAAUGUGUUGCGCAUACAUUGCCAAAAUCGUAAUAAAUGUUUAAUUUUUA
This 2696-nucleotide long non-coding RNA is filed under the name Agrilus planipennis (emerald ash borer). RNAcentral's name for it is "uncharacterized LOC112906393". The record is from RNAcentral. Lineage: Eukaryota; Metazoa; Arthropoda; Insecta; Coleoptera; Buprestidae.